RNAcentral lists this ribosomal RNA (117 nucleotides) under Nicoliella spurrieriana. Lineage: Bacteria; Bacillati; Bacillota; Bacilli; Lactobacillales; Lactobacillaceae. The record is from RNAcentral.
UGUGGUGAUGAUGGCCGAAAGGAUACACCUGUUCCCAUGCCGAACACAGUAGUUAAGCUUUCGCACGCCAAAAGUAGUUGGGGGAUCGCCCCCUGCAAGGAUAGGACGUUGCCACGC